Molecule: ribosomal RNA, 301 nt
Filed under: uncultured bacterium
Lineage: Bacteria
Description: partial 16S ribosomal RNA
Rfam family: Bacterial small subunit ribosomal RNA
Source: RNAcentral
CAGUCGCCACGGUAAAACGGGGGGGGCAAGUGUUAUUCGGAAUGACUGGGCGUAAAGGGCACGUAGGCGGUGAAAAGGGUGGAAAGUGAAAGUCGCCAAAACACUGGCGGGGUGCUUUCUUGACCAUUUCACUUGAGUGAGAUAGGGGAGAGUGGAAUUUCGUGUGGAGGGAUCAAAUCCUAAGAUAUACGAAGGAACGCCAACCGCGAAGGCAGCUCUCUGGGUCCCCACUGACGCUGGGGUGCGAAAGCAUGGGGAGCAAACAGGAUCAGAUACCCCGGUAGUCCCUGUCUCUUAUACA